Molecule: ribosomal RNA, 458 nt
Filed under: uncultured bacterium
Lineage: Bacteria
Description: partial 16S ribosomal RNA
Rfam family: Bacterial small subunit ribosomal RNA
Source: RNAcentral
CCUACGGGAGGCAGCAGUGAGGAAUAUUGGUCAAUGGGCGAGAGCCUGAACCAGCCAAGUCGCGUGAGGGAGUACUGCCCUAUGGGUUGUAAACCUCUUUUGUCGGGGAGCAAAAGCCGGACGUGUCCGGCUGUGAGAGUACCCGAAGAAAAAGUAUCGGCUAACUCCGUGCCAGCAGCCGCGGUAAUACGGAGGAUGCGAGCGUUAUCCGGAUUUAUUGGGUUUAAAGGGUGCUCAGGCGGAUUUUUAAGUCAGCGGUAAAAUCGUGGGGCUCAACCCCAUCCAGCCGUUGAAACUGGGGAUCUAGAGUGUGCGAGAGGUAUGCGGAAUGCGUGGUGUAGCGGUGAAAUGCAUAGAUAUCACGCAGAACCCCGAUUGCGAAGGCAGCAUACCGGUGCACAACUGACGCUCAGGCACGAAAGCGUGGGUAUCGAACAGGAUUAGAUACCCGGGUAGUC